AGCCAGGAAUAUAUGGGACAGUGUAAUAGGCAAGAAGAAAAUAGAGCACAAAAUAAAAUACGCGCUGAAUAUCUAUAUAUACAUUUUUGCAGCAAUUUUGUGAAAUAAAUCUUAUAGUUGGGACUUAUUUACAAUAGCUGCCACUGGAUUUUAAUGUUUGUUUUUGAUAAUUAGAAAAAAAAUCUUCAAAUUAAAUAUUUGACAUUUAACAAUCUUCCCUAAAUCUCUCCACAUUAACUACACGAUUAGUUACUAAAAUAAAACUUUCAAAAUAUUUAAUAUCAUUUAUUUACUACAAAAUUAUCAUUUUUGAUAUUGUUUUUCUCCAUGACUAUAACAAUUUAAUUAUAAUCGUCAAAUCGCAGAGAUAUUUGAUAGCAUUUAAUUAUUACAAAAUUACAAAAUAUUUAGACAAUAAUUCAUAAACAUAUCAUAAAUAAGAUUAACAUUAAUAAAAUAAAUGUUUUUUUUAUGGGACGGGUUGGCGGGACGGGUUUGGCAGGACGUUACUUAAUAACAAUUGUAAACUAUAAAAUAAAAAUAUUUAUAGAUAGAUACAAUUUGCAAACUUUUAUGUAUACUAACUUUAAAAAAUAAAUUGUUUCCGCGGUGUACCGCGGGUUAAAAUCUAGUAUUUAGUGAAGAACGAAAAAA
This 654-nucleotide small RNA is filed under the name Arabidopsis thaliana (thale cress). RNAcentral describes it as "ATSL193070". Lineage: Eukaryota; Viridiplantae; Streptophyta; Magnoliopsida; Brassicales; Brassicaceae. The record is from RNAcentral.